Molecule: unclassified non-coding RNA, 281 nt
Filed under: Hevea brasiliensis (rubber tree)
Lineage: Eukaryota; Viridiplantae; Streptophyta; Magnoliopsida; Malpighiales; Euphorbiaceae
Source: RNAcentral
AUUUUUACCAAGGAGUUCCGUAUCUUUGGGACCGCAUAAAUGUUAAAAUACCAAAAAGAUCUGCAUAUCCACACAAAUAUUUAACCCAUGCCAGUACAUUAGAAAAGUGAAAAAUGAAGGAGCGGAGCACGUGCCAUUGAGCACCACUAAUGAGUCCAGCACGGUCAGUUCUGCAGCUUGCUUGUGUCUUCGGUGGCUUUCCAUUGUAAGCCCCGCCCACAGUGAGUAGGUGUGCAUAAAUCCAUACAAUGAUCACCGUGAAAAGAACAGCAAAACGAUCA